AUGGGAAUUUUCUGCAUAAAAAUGGCUACCAUUUCGAAAUGAACGAAUCUACGCAAAUAAUUUUUGGACAGGAACAAUGUCAAUGACCAAUAUUGUGCCCUUAUUAAAUUAAAAGUUAGACAGUUUUUGAGAAACCUGCCUUUAAUUGCUCAAAAUGGCUAUAUUCGGCAUAAAAAUGGCCGCCAUUUUCAAACGAACGAAUCAAUGACUAUGAUUUUUAGACGGGAACAAUGUCAAUGACCGAUAUUAUGCCCUUGCCAAAUUA
Molecule: long non-coding RNA, 265 nt
Organism: Thalassophryne amazonica
Lineage: Eukaryota; Metazoa; Chordata; Actinopteri; Batrachoidiformes; Batrachoididae
Exons: 2
Source: RefSeq, a predicted model, not a curated record